RNAcentral lists this long non-coding RNA (475 nucleotides) under Physcomitrium patens. Its description in RNAcentral is "long non-coding RNA (PPAT_LNC009949)". Lineage: Eukaryota; Viridiplantae; Streptophyta; Bryopsida; Funariales; Funariaceae. The record is from RNAcentral.
UUACGUGAAGUCUUACUUGAGAAUGUAUCAGAUACCUAAUUGUGGAAGAUAGAAUGGAAAUUGCAACAACAAAAUUUUAACUUUAAUUGAAUAUUAAACAUAUUCAAAUUAAACCUUAAUAAUACUUAAAAAGCUUUAAUCAAAUUUAAAAGAAACCUUAAAGAAAUUAUAAAAGAAAUAAUAAAAAAUCUUAAAUGAAUUCAAAGAAAUCUACAAUAAAUCUUUAAAGAAUCCUUAAGAAAUCCUAAAGAAAUAUUAGAAUAAUUACAAAUAUAUCUUAAAUAAAUCUAAAUCAAGUUUUAAUAUAAUCUUAAUUGAAAUCCAAGAGGACUCAAUUGAAUCCUAAACCAAAUCCUAAACUCUAAGCAAAUCCUAAAUCUUAAAUCCUAAAUAAAUCCUAAAUCCUAUGCAAAUAUUGAAUCCUAAAUCCUAAACCAAAUCCCAAAUUCUAGUCUAUUUCCAAAUCAUAACCAAA